RNAcentral lists this transfer RNA (79 nucleotides) under marine sediment metagenome. RNAcentral's name for it is "tRNA-Lys". It matches the Rfam family "tRNA". Rfam says of the family: Transfer RNA (tRNA) molecules are approximately 80 nucleotides in length. Their secondary structure includes four short double-helical elements and three loops (D, anti-codon, and T loops). The record is from RNAcentral.
GGGCCUGUGGCAUAGCGGCGAUUGCACCUGGCUUUUAACCAGAGAUUAUACACCGGGGGUUCGAGUCCCUCCAGGCCCA